Fukomys damarensis (Damara mole-rat) is the source of this 940-nucleotide long non-coding RNA. RefSeq lists it as uncharacterized. The transcript is spliced from 3 exons. The record is from RefSeq and is a predicted model, not a curated record. Lineage: Eukaryota; Metazoa; Chordata; Mammalia; Rodentia; Bathyergidae.
UCCGCCUGGCCACCUGCGGUGUCUGUGGCCAGACAUCCCCAGCAGCCGAGAGGGCCACCUCACACACCGCCAGCUCCUUGGCGUGGUCCCACUUGGUUUUCCCAAGCUAUGGAUCUCCUCGGCACUGGCACCCUGCCAGCAAGCACUCCAUACGUUUAUGAAGUAGGAAAUUUCAUAGGAUGUUUUACAGAGGGUCCGGAGGGACACAGCCGUACAUCAUUUUCUUCAACUGUCAGAUGAGCUGCUUGCUAUGAUUUUGUCAAGAAAUAGCCCAUUCUCCUAAGGUGCUCCAAAAAAGUACCUGGCUGGCUGGAAGAAAACUUAGGAGCCACCAAGUCCAUGGCAGAGAUUUCCAUGGCACGACGCCCACGUGGCCCAUCUGAGUGGCCUGGCUGUAAUGAGCUGGUUAUGGUCUCGCGGGGCAUCCGUUUACCUGACAGCGUCUCCAGUUUCUCUUCCUCUGCUCUAGCCCGGUGCUCCGCUGGCCGGCAUCACACUUAGGCUGGCCGUCCCCACCCCGCGCCCCGCACCAUUCCGCGUGGUCGGGACCUGGCCCUGCAGAAGUGCUGAAGCCGCUCCUGGCUUCCCACGCGUUCGCCUCUCCUCAGAGGCAGAGCCCUGUCCCCGUCGUGUCUCCCGUGGAACCUUUGGUCCCCACACCUUCCUGUGACAUCAUGACAUUUAAUUAGUUAUCAUUUUGCUUGUUCUUAAAGAAACGCUGUUUGCACUCACUUGAAAUCACUCCCUGAAUGCCAGCUAGGCUCUUGACAUUUAUUUAGGAAACAGCAUUUUGCAGAACUUUUAUAGCAUGAAUGUGUGAUGAUUAGAGGGAUUCAGGCCCUCUGUAAGUGCAGGCUCAUUCUUGUGUCUCUGUCACACUGAAAUUUCAGCUGUAAUUUGGAUUUACAUUAUGGACCGGGAAAGUGUUAGGAUAUUUUAA